CCUACGGGUGGCAGCAGUGAGGAAUAUUGGUCAAUGGACGGAAGUCUGAACCAGCAAUGCCGCGUGCAGGAAGACGGCUCUAUGAGUUGUAAACUGCUUUUGUACAAGGGUAAACCUGAAUACGUGUAUUCAGCUGAAAGUACUGUACGAAUACGGAUCGGCUAACUCCGUGCCAGCAGCCGCGGUAAUACGGAGGAUCCAAGCGUUAUCCGGAUUUAUUGGGUUUAAAGGGUGCGUAGGCGGAAUAUCAAGUCAGCGGUAAAAAUUCGGGGCUCAACCCCGUCGUGCCGUUGAAACUGAUGUUCUUGAGUGAGCGAGAUGUAGGCGGAAUGCGUGGUGUAGCGGUGAAAUGCGUAGAUAUCACGCAGAACACCGAUUGCGAAGGCAGCAUACCGGCGCCCAACUGACGCUGAAGCACGAAAGCGUGGGUAUCGAACAGGAUUAGAUACCCUUGUAGUC
RNAcentral lists this ribosomal RNA (459 nucleotides) under uncultured bacterium. RNAcentral describes it as "partial 16S ribosomal RNA". It matches the Rfam family "Bacterial small subunit ribosomal RNA", at positions 338 to 795 of the family's 1533-position model. The record is from RNAcentral.